RNAcentral lists this ribosomal RNA (253 nucleotides) under uncultured bacterium. RNAcentral's name for it is "partial 16S ribosomal RNA". It matches the Rfam family "Bacterial small subunit ribosomal RNA", at positions 524 to 776 of the family's 1533-position model. The record is from RNAcentral.
UACGAAGGGGGCUAGCGUUGCUCGGAAUCACUGGGCGUAAAGGGUGCGUAGGCGGGUCUUUAAGUCAGGGGUGAAAUCCUGGAGCUCAACUCCAGAACUGCCUUUGAUACUGAGGAUCUUGAGUACGGGAGAGGUGAGUGGAACUACGAGUGUAGAGGUGAAAUUCGUAGAUAUUCGCAAGAACACCAGUGGCGAAGGCGGCUCACUGGCCCGUAACUGACGCUGAGGCACGAAAGCGUGGGGAGCAAACAGG